GAUCAUGGCUCAGAACGAACGCUGGCGGCAUGCCUAACACAUGCAAGUCGAACGAGACCUUCGGGUCUAGUGGCGCACGGGUGCGUAACGCGUGGGAAUCUGCCCUUUGCUUCGGAAUAACAGUUAGAAAUGACUGCUAAUACCGGAUGAUGUCUUCGGACCAAAGAUUUAUCGGCAAAGGAUGAGCCCGCGUAGGAUUAGGUAGUUGGUGGGGUAAAGGCCUACCAAGCCGACGAUCCUUAGCUGGUCUGAGAGGAUGAUCAGCCACACUGGGACUGAGACACGGCUCAGACUCCUACGGGAGGCAGCAGUGGGGAAUAUUGGACAAUGGGCGCAAGCCUGAUCCAGCAAUGCCGCGUGAGUGAUGAAGGCCUUCGGGUCGUAAAGCUCUUUUACCAGGGAUGAUAAUGACAGUACCUGGAGAAUAAGCUCCGGCUAACUCCGUG
RNAcentral lists this ribosomal RNA (446 nucleotides) under uncultured bacterium. RNAcentral describes it as "bacterial SSU rRNA". It matches the Rfam family "Bacterial small subunit ribosomal RNA", at positions 15 to 507 of the family's 1533-position model. The record is from RNAcentral.